CAACGUGAGUAACCUGCCCCCUUCUUCUGGAUAACCGCAUGAAAGUGUGGCUAAUACGGGAUAUUCUGGGUCUGUCGCAUGGUGGGCCUGGGAAAGAUUGCGCCUUUUUGGUGUUUUGGUGGGGGAUGGGCUCGCGGCCUAUCAGCUUGUUGGUGGGGUGAUGGCCUACCAAGGCGGUGACGGGUAGCCGGCCUGAGAGGGUGGACGGUCACACUGGGACUGAGACACGGCCCAG
RNAcentral lists this ribosomal RNA (235 nucleotides) under uncultured bacterium. Its description in RNAcentral is "partial 16S ribosomal RNA". It matches the Rfam family "Bacterial small subunit ribosomal RNA", at positions 113 to 334 of the family's 1533-position model. The record is from RNAcentral.